This 263-nucleotide unclassified non-coding RNA is filed under the name plant metagenome. RNAcentral's name for it is "partial contains small subunit ribosomal RNA, internal transcribed spacer 1, and 5.8S ribosomal RNA". The record is from RNAcentral.
UUUCCGUAGGUGAACCAGCGGAAGGAUCAUUAUUGUAUAACCGAGGUGCGAGGGCUGUCGCUGACCCGAAAGGUCGUGCACGCCCGAGUGCCCUCACACACAUCCAUCUCACCCCUAUGUGCACCACCGCGUGGGUCCCCCUUUGGCUUGUUCGGAGGGGGGCUUACGUUUACACACAAACUUUGUAUGCAGUGUAGAAUGUAUUUUUUGUUUUUGCGAUCACGCAAUCAAUACAACUUUCAACAACGGAUCUCUUGGCUCUC